UAGGGAAUCUUCGGCAAUGGACGAAAGUCUGACCGAGCAACGCCGCGUGAGUGAAGAAGGUUUUCGGAUCGUAAAACUCUGUUGUUAGAGAAGAACAAGGACGUUAGUAACUGAACGUCCCCUGACGGUAUCUAACCAGAAAGCCACGGCUAACUACGUGCCAGCAGCCGCGGUAAUACGUAGGUGGCAAGCGUUGUCCGGAUUUAUUGGGCGUAAAGCGAGCGCAGGCGGUUUCUUAAGUCUGAUGUGAAAGCCCCCGGCUCAACCGGGGAGGGUCAUUGGAAACUGGGAGACUUGAGUGCAGAAGAGGAGAGUGGAAUUCCAUGUGUAGCGGUGAAAUGCGUAGAUAUAUGGAGGAACACCAGUGGCGAAGGCGGCUCUCUGGUCUGUAACUGACGCUGAGGCACGAAAGCGUGGGGAGCAAACAGG
This 429-nucleotide ribosomal RNA is filed under the name Gemmatimonadota bacterium. Its description in RNAcentral is "Gemmatimonadetes bacterium partial 16S ribosomal RNA". It matches the Rfam family "Bacterial small subunit ribosomal RNA", at positions 355 to 776 of the family's 1533-position model. The record is from RNAcentral. Lineage: Bacteria; Pseudomonadati; Gemmatimonadota.